GACGAACGCUGGCGGCGUGCUUAACACAUGCAAGUCGAACGGUGAAGCGCCUUCCUUUUUGGUGGGUGUGGAUGAGUGGCGAACGGGUGAGUAACACGUGAGUAACCUGCCCCCUUCUUCUGGAUAACCGCAUGAAAGUGUGGCUAAUACGGGAUAUUCUGGGUCUGUCGCAUGAUGGGUCUGGGAAAGAUAUUGUUUCGGUGGGGGAUGGGCUCGCGGCCUAUCAGCUUGUUGGUGGGGUGAUGGCCUACCAAGGCGGUGACGGGUAGCCGGCCUGAGAGGGUGGACGGUCACAAUGGGACUGAGACACGGCACAGACUCCUACGGGAGGCAGCAGUGGGGAAUAUUGCACAAUGGGCGCAAGCCUGAUGCAGCGACGCCGCGUGAGGGAUGGAGGCCUUCGGGUUGUGAACCUCUUUCGCCAGUGAAGCAGGCCUGCCUCGUUUGUGGGUGGGUUGACGGUAGCUGGAUAAGAAGCGCCGGCUAACUACGUG
This 494-nucleotide ribosomal RNA is filed under the name uncultured bacterium. Its description in RNAcentral is "partial 16S ribosomal RNA". It matches the Rfam family "Bacterial small subunit ribosomal RNA", at positions 28 to 507 of the family's 1533-position model. The record is from RNAcentral.